GAGACUCUGUGCGCGUGCAUAUCAAUAAGCGGAGGAAAAGAAACUAACAAGGAUUCCCCUAGUAACGGCGAGUGAAGCGGGAAGAGCUCAAAUUUGAAAUCUUAAAGGGUUUCCCUUUACGAAUUGUAGUUUAAAGAAGUGUUUUCUGUUGGAGUUUCGGUAAAAGUUCUUUGGAAUAGGACAUCAUAGAGGGUGAGAAUCCCGUAUUUGACCGUUACUUUCCAGCUGUGUGAUACACUUUCAAAGAGUCGGAUUGUUUGGGAAUGCAGUCCAAGAUGGGUGGUAAAUUUCAUCUAAAGCUAAAUAUUGGCGAGAGACCGAUAGCGAACAAGUACCGUGAGGGAAAGAUGAAAAGAACUUUGAAAAGAGAGUUAAACAGUACGUGAAAUUGUCAAAAGGGAAGCGUUUGACACCAGUGUUGUUUAGUUGAAAAUCAAUUCAAUAGUUUUUGAUUCUAAGUAGUAUUGACUUCAUCAGCUUGCUGCUUUCUUCUCAGAAAUUAUUGAAUGCACUUUUCAGUUAACAAGUCAACAUCAAUUUCUUUUGUUGUAAAAGGGUAAGAGGAAGGUGGCUUGCGCUUCGGCUCAAGUGUUUAUAGCCUUUUAUCUCUGCAAUCGGAGAGAUUGAGGUCUGCAGCGUAGAUCCUUCGGGGUUAGAUACAUUGGUGCUAAGCUAUAGCCUUGUAUAGACAACUUGUUGACUAUGCUCAGUCAUGUAGCUUACUCGCUGAUGCUAUUUUACCUACGCUUAGGAUGUUGAAUCUGUGCGAGACUAC
This 775-nucleotide ribosomal RNA is filed under the name uncultured Neocallimastigales. Its description in RNAcentral is "partial large subunit ribosomal RNA". It matches the Rfam family "Eukaryotic large subunit ribosomal RNA", at positions 23 to 644 of the family's 3401-position model. Lineage: Eukaryota; Fungi; Neocallimastigomycota; Neocallimastigomycetes; Neocallimastigales. The record is from RNAcentral.